This 403-nucleotide ribosomal RNA is filed under the name uncultured Sphingobacteriales bacterium. RNAcentral's name for it is "bacterial SSU rRNA". It matches the Rfam family "Bacterial small subunit ribosomal RNA", at positions 233 to 633 of the family's 1533-position model. The record is from RNAcentral. Lineage: Bacteria; Pseudomonadati; Bacteroidota; Sphingobacteriia; Sphingobacteriales.
GCGUCUGAUUAGCUAGUUGGUAGGGUAAAAGCCUACCAAGGCAUCGAUCAGUAGGGGACCUGAGAGGGUGAUCCCCCACACUGGUACUGAGACAGGGACCAGACUCCUACGGGAGGCAGCAGUAGGGAAUAUUGGGCAAUGGUGGACACACUGACCCAGCCAUGCCGCGUGCCGGAAGACGGCCCUCUGGGUUGUAAACGGCUUUUAAUCGGGAAGAAAAAGCUCCUUGCGAGGGGCCUUGACGGUACCGACAGAAUCAGCACCGGCUAACUCCGUGCCAGCAGCCGCGGUAAUACGGAGGGUGCGAGCGUUGUCCGGAUUUAUUGGGUUUAAAGGGUGCGUAGGCGGGAAGAUAAGUCAGGGGUGAAAGACGGCUGCUUAACAGUCGCAGUGCCCUUGAUAC